Molecule: ribosomal RNA, 338 nt
Filed under: uncultured bacterium
Lineage: Bacteria
Description: partial 16S ribosomal RNA
Rfam family: Bacterial small subunit ribosomal RNA
Source: RNAcentral
CCUACGGGAGGCAGCAGUGAGGAAUUUUGGUCAAUGGUCGAGAGUCUGAACCAGCCAAGUAGCGUGAAGGAUGACUGCCCUAUGGGUUGUAAACUUCUUUUAUAUGGGAAUAAAAUGUUCCACGUGUGGGAUUUUGUAUGUAUCAUAUGAAUAAGGGACGGCUAACUUCGUGCCAGCAGCCGCGGCAAUACGGAGGAUCCGAGCGUUAUCCGGAUUUAUUGGGUUUAAAGGGAGCGUAGGUGGAUUGUUAAGUCAGUUGUGAAAGUUUGUGGCUCAACCGUAAAAUUGCAGUUGAAACGGGCAGUCUUGGAGACAGUAGGGGUGGGCGGAAUUCGUGG